CCUACGGGAGUCAGCAGUGAGGAAUAUUGUUCAAUGGACGCAAGUCUGAACCAGCCAUGCCGCGUGCAGGAAGACGGCUCUAUGAGUUGUAAACUGCUUUUGUACGAGGGUAAACGCAGAUACGCGUAUCUGUCUGAAAGUAUCGUACGAAUAAGGAUCGGCUAACUCCGUUCCAGCAGCCGCGGUAAUACCGAGGAUUCAAGCGUUCUCCGGAUUUAUUGGGUUUAAAGGGUGCGUAGGCGGUCGGAUAAGUUAGAGGUGAAAUCUCGAGGCUCAACUUCGGAAUUGCCUUUGAUACUGUUCGGCGAGAGAGUAGUUGCGGUAGGCGGAAGGUAUGGUGUAGCGGUGAAAUGCUUAGAGAUCAUACAGAACACCGAUUGCGAAGGCAGCUUACCAAGCUACUUCUGACGUUGAGGCACGAAAGCGUGGGGAGCAAACAGGAUUAGAUACCCUAGUAGUC
Molecule: ribosomal RNA, 460 nt
Filed under: uncultured bacterium
Lineage: Bacteria
Description: partial 16S ribosomal RNA
Rfam family: Bacterial small subunit ribosomal RNA
Source: RNAcentral